RNAcentral lists this ribosomal RNA (504 nucleotides) under Lordomyrma reticulata. RNAcentral describes it as "eukaryotic LSU rRNA". Lineage: Eukaryota; Metazoa; Arthropoda; Insecta; Hymenoptera; Formicidae. The record is from RNAcentral.
AAACCGUUCAGGGGUAAACCUAAGAAACCCAAAAGAUCGAACGGGGAGAUUCAUCGUCAGCGACGCUGGCUUCGCGUCGGUGGGCGAUGUCCCGCGGAGCCUCGCGGCUCGCGCGCGGACACGCUGCCGUGCGUCGAUGUCCGGCGUUCGUCGUCGUGCACUUCUCCCCUAGUAGAACGUCGCGACCCGCUGGGUGUCGGUCUACGGCCCGGGUGCGGUGACUGACGCGUCGCCGGUAAAACGGCACGCGUCAAACCCUCGGUCGCCCGGCCGGCUGCCCGGCGGUACACGCAAGGUAUCAGGCCGCACCUUACUUGACGAGUGCGUCGAGGCCGUCGCAAGCGCGCGCCACGGUACACGGAGGACUAACGGACCCAGUGCCGUCCCCGGUCCUGGCCCGCUGUUGGUCGCACGGUUAACCUUCGACAGGCCUACGAACGUCCCCUGGGAAAUCCGGGGGACCGAUACCGGUCGGCGACGCUACUGCUUUGGGUACUCUUAGGA